RNAcentral lists this ribosomal RNA (702 nucleotides) under Triticum aestivum (bread wheat). Its description in RNAcentral is "partial small subunit ribosomal RNA". Lineage: Eukaryota; Viridiplantae; Streptophyta; Magnoliopsida; Poales; Poaceae. The record is from RNAcentral.
AUGACGGAACCGGUGAAGCUCAUCGGCGCCUUCGGCAGUCCGUUCGUCCACCGUGCCAAGGUCGCCCUGCACCUCAAGGGAGUCGCCUACGAGCUCAUUACGGAAGACCUCUCCAACAAGAGCGAGCUGCUGCUCCGCCACAACCCCGUCCACCACAGGGUGCCCGUGCUCCUCCACGGCGACAAGCCCAUCUGCGAGUCGCUGGUCAUCGUUGAGUACAUCGACGAGGCCUUUGAUGGCCCGCCGCUCCUGUCAGCAGACCCCGGCGAGAGGGCCGAGGCCCGCUUCUGGGCCAAGUUCUUUGCGGAAAAGUGCCUGAUGUCGGUGUGGCUGGCGCUGUGGACGGAGGGCGAGACACGGAAGCUUCUCAUGGAAGAUGCUAAGGAACACUUGAUGAUAGUGGAGACGCAACUCAAGGAGAAGAGAUUCUUCGGUGGCGCUGCUAUCGGCCUCGCCGACAUCGCCGGCGCCAGCGUUCUGUCCCACUGGGCGGGCGUGCUGCAAGAGGUUGCUGGGAUAACCGUCAUGAGUGAUGACGAGUAUCCUGCUAUCCACCGGUGGAUGGAGGACUACAACGCCGACGAAGUUGUCAUGGAGUGCCUGCCAGAUCGGGAGCAGCUUGUGUCCCACUUCACUGCUAUCAGAGGAAAGUGCAUCGCCGCGGGGAAGUCCAUGCUACCCAAUUAUGUAGCCAGCAAAUAG